ACUACGGAGUGAAGUCAUUGAUGCCAUGCUUCCAGGAAAAGCCUCUAAGCUUCAGAUAGUCAGGAAUCGUACCCCAAACCGACACAGGUGGUCGGGUAGAGAAUACCAAGGCGCUUGAGAGAACUCGGGUGAAGGAACUAGGCAAAAUGGUACCGUAACUUCGGGAGAAGGUACGCUCUUGAUGGUGAAGUCCCUUGCGGAUGGAGCUGACGAGAGUCGCAGAUACCAGGUGGCUGCAACUGUUUAUUAAAAACACAGCACUGUGCAAAAUCGCAAGAUGACGUAUACGGUGUGACGCCUGCCCGGUGCCGGAAGGUUAAUUGAUGGGGUUAGCGCAAGCGAAGCUCUUGAUCGAAGCCCCGGUAAACGGCGGCCGUAACUAUAACGGUCCUAAGGUAGCGAAAUUCCUUGUCGGGUAAGUUCCGACCUGCACGAAUGGCGUAAUGAUGGCCACGCUGUCUCCACCCGAGACUCAGUGAAAUUGAAAUCGCUGUGAAGAUGCAGUGUACCCGCGGCUAGACGGAAAGACCCCGUGAACCUUUACUACAGCUUGGCACUGAACAUUGAACCUACAUGUGUAGGAUAGGUGGGAGGCUAUGAAGACGUGACGCCAGUUGCGUUGGAGCCGUCCUUGAAAUACCACCCUUGUAUGUUUGAUGUUCUAACUUAGACCCAUUAUCUGGGUUGAGGACAGUGCCUGGUGGGUAGUUUGACUGGGGCGGUCUCCUCCCAAAGAGUAACGGAGGAGCACGAAGGUGGGCUAAUCACGGUUGGACAUCGUGAGGUUAGUGCAAUGGCAUAAGCCCGCUUAACUGCGAGAAUGACGGUUCGAGCAGGUGCGAAAGCAGGUCAUAGUGAUCCGGUGGUUCUGUAUGGAAGGGCCAUCGCUCAACGGAUAAAAGGUACUCCGGGGAUAACAGGCUGAUACCGCCCAAGAGUUCAUAUCGACGGCGGUGUUUGGCACCUCGAUGUCGGCUCAUCACAUCCUGGGGCUGAAGUCGGUCCCAAGGGUAUGGCUGUUCGCCAUUUAAAGUGGUACGCGAGCUGGGUUUAGAACGUCGUGAGACAGUUCGGUCCCUAUCUGCCGUGGGCGUUGGAAGAUUGAAGGGGGCUGCUCCUAGUACGAGAGGACCGGAGUGGACGAACCUCUGGUGUUCGGGUUGUGUCGCCAGACGCAUUGCCCGGUAGCUAAGUUCGGAAUUGAUAAGCGCUGAAAGCAUCUAAGCGCGAAGCGAGCCCUGAGAUGAGUCUUCCCUGAUACUUUAAGUAUCCUAAAGGGUUGUUCGAGACUAGAACGUUGAUAGGCAGGGUGUGUAAGCGUUGUGAGGCGUUGAGCUAACCUGUACUAAUUGCCCGUGAGGCUUAACCAUACAACACCCAAGGGGUUUUGUA
Molecule: ribosomal RNA, 1392 nt
Filed under: Vibrio cholerae
Lineage: Bacteria; Pseudomonadati; Pseudomonadota; Gammaproteobacteria; Vibrionales; Vibrionaceae
Description: bacterial LSU rRNA
Rfam family: Bacterial large subunit ribosomal RNA
Source: RNAcentral